This 857-nucleotide ribosomal RNA is filed under the name Halobacillus sp. G12-15A. Its description in RNAcentral is "bacterial SSU rRNA". It matches the Rfam family "Bacterial small subunit ribosomal RNA", at positions 1 to 818 of the family's 1533-position model. Lineage: Bacteria; Bacillati; Bacillota; Bacilli; Caryophanales; Bacillaceae. The record is from RNAcentral.
AGGAGCAUGGCUGAGUAACUACAUACCCAAGCUCAGUCGGGAAGCAAGCGGACUCCCUCUGGGGGUGAAGCUGUGUGAACGAGCGGCGGACGGGUGAGUAACACGUGGGCAACCUGCCUGUAAGACCGGAAUAACCCCGGGAAACCGGGGCUAAUGCCGGGUAACACCUACCUUCGCAUGAAGGAAGGUUAAAAGAUGGCUUCUUGCUAUCACUUACAGAUGGGCCCGCGGCGCAUUAGCUAGUUGGUGAGGUAACAGCUCACCAAGGCGACGAUGCGUAGCCGACCUGAGAGGGUGAUCGGCCACACUGGGACUGAGACACGGCCCAGACUCCUACGGGAGGCAGCAGUAGGGAAUCUUCCGCAAUGGACGAAAGUCUGACGGAGCAACGCCGCGUGAACGAUGAAGGUCUUCGGAUCGUAAAGUUCUGUUGUUAGGGAAGAACAAGUACCGUGCGAAUAGAGCGGUACCUUGACGGUACCUAACGAGGAAGCCCCGGCUAACUACGUGCCAGCAGCCGCGGUAAUACGUAGGGGGCAAGCGUUGUCCGGAAUUAUUGGGCGUAAAGCGCGCGCAGGCGGUUUCUUAAGUCUGAUGUGAAAGCCCACGGCUCAACCGUGGAGGGUCAUUGGAAACUGGGGAACUUGAGGACAGAAGAGGAGAGUGGAAUUCCACGUGUAGCGGUGAAAUGCGUAAAUUGUGGAGAACACAGUGGAAAGGGAAUCUCUGGUUGUUUCUAACUAGGUGAAAGGGGUAAAAGGAUUAAACGUUUCACCCAAAUAUUGUUAGGUCCCCUAUGUACAUAACCGGGAGCGAUAAAGAGUCGGGAUAGACGAAAGAUUAAGCUUGGGUUUCUA